Molecule: ribosomal RNA, 610 nt
Filed under: Enterococcus faecium
Lineage: Bacteria; Bacillati; Bacillota; Bacilli; Lactobacillales; Enterococcaceae
Description: partial 23S ribosomal RNA
Rfam family: Bacterial large subunit ribosomal RNA
Source: RNAcentral
AAGAGGAGUCAAAUGCUUCUUUUCUUAAGGACAAGCUGUGAUGGGGAGGGAAAUAAUAGUACCGAAGUUCCUGAUGUCACACUGCCGAGAAAAGCUUCUAGUGAGAAAACAGCGGCCCGUACCGCAAACCGACACAGGUAGUCGAGGAGAGAAUCCUAAGGUGAGCGAGAGAACUCUCGUUAAGGAACUCGGCAAAAUGACCCCGUAACUUCGGGAGAAGGGGUGCUGAUCAUACGAUCAGCCGCAGUGAAUAGGCCCAAGCGACUGUUUAUCAAAAACACAGGUCUCUGCAAAAUCGUAAGAUGAAGUAUAGGGGCUGACGCCUGCCCGGUGCUGGAAGGUUAAGAGGAGUGCUUAGCGCAAGCGAAGGUACGAAUUGAAGCCCCAGUAAACGGCGGCCGUAACUAUAACGGUCCUAAGGUAGCGAAAUUCCUUGUCGGGUAAGUUCCGACCCGCACGAAAGGCGUAACGAUUUGGGCACUGUCUCAACGAGAGACUCGGUGAAAUUUUAGUACCUGUGAAGAUGCAGGUUACCCGCGACAGGACGGAAAGACCCCAUGGAGCUUUACUGUAGUUUGAUAUUGAGUGUCUGUACCGCAUGUACAGGAUA